Unclassified non-coding RNA from Myotis lucifugus (little brown bat), 328 nucleotides. Its record names the gene 7SK. It matches the Rfam family "7SK RNA". From Rfam's summary of the family: 7SK was discovered as an abundant small nuclear RNA in the mid-70s but a possible function has only recently been suggested. Two independent studies have found that 7SK RNA binds the CDK9/cyclin T complex (known as elongation factor P-TEFb). P-TEFb activates transcription by phosphorylating the C-terminal domain of RNA polymerase II. The record is from Ensembl. NCBI's taxonomy places the organism in Eukaryota, Metazoa, Chordata, Mammalia, Chiroptera, Vespertilionidae.
GGAUGUGAGGGUGAUCUGGCUGCGACAUCUGUCACCCCCAUUGAUCACCAGGGUUGAUUUGGCUGAUCUGGCUAGCUAGGCGGGUACCCCCCUCCUACUGCACCAAUCCAUGUGCGUCCUCCCGAAGCUGCAUGCUUGGUCGAAGAGGAUGACCUUCUCCCCAGAGGAGAGGACCGGUCUUCGGUCUUCAGUCAAGGGUAUACAAGUAGCUGCGCUCCCCUGCUAGAACCUCCAAACAAGCUCUCAAGAAGAGAGUGUUGAGCCGUGUCCAGUACUUCAAGCACAACUUUGUAAAGACAGAUGUACAAGGAGUUCAUUGCAGUAUUGU